GUUGUAUGGUUAAGUGACUAAGCGUACACGGUGGAUGCCUUGGCAGUCAGAGGCGAUGAAGGACGUAUUAACUUGCGAUAAGCCCAGAUUAGGUAGUAAAAACCAUUUGAGUCUGGGAUUUCCGAAUGGGGAAACCCACUAGCAUAAGCUAGUAUCGCUGCGUGAAUACAUAGCGCAGCGAGGCGAACCGGGGGAACUGAAACAUCUAAGUACCCCGAGGAAAAGAAAUCAACCGAGAUUCCGAAAGUAGCGGCGAGCGAAAUUGGACUAGCCCUUAAGCUUUUUAUGCGUCAGGUGAAACUUCUGGAAAGUUGUGCGAUACAGGGUGAUAGCCCCGUAACCGGCAACGCAUUUAAAGUGAAAUCGAGUAGGGCGGGACACGUGAUAUCCUGUCUGAAUAUGGGGGGACCAUCCUCCAAGGCUAAAUACUACUGACUGACCGAUAGUGAACCAGUACCGUGAGGGAAAGGCGAAAAGAACCCCUGUGAGGGGAGUGAAAUAGAACCUGAAACCGUGUACGUACAAGCAGUAGGAGCACCUUCGUGGUGUGACUGCGUACCUUUUGUAUAAUGGGUCAGCGACUUAUAUUCAGUGGCAAGGUUAACCAUCUAGGGGAGCCGUAGGGAAACCGAGUCUUAACUGGGCGUUCAGUCUCUGGAUAUAGACCCGAAACCAGGUGAUCUAGCCAUGGGCAGGUUGAAGGUUGAGUAACAUCAACUGGAGGACCGAACCGACUAAUGUUGAAAAAUUAGCGGAUGACUUGUGGCUAGGGGUGAAAGGCCAAUCAAACCUGGAGAUAGCUGGUUCUCCCCGAAAGCUAUUUAGGUAGCGCCUCGGACGAAUACUACUGGGGGUAGAGCACUGUUAAGGCUAGGGGGUCAUCCCGACUUACCAACCCUUUGCAAACUCCGAAUACCAGUAAGUACUAUCCGGGAGACACACGGCGGGUGCUAACGUCCGUCGUGGAGAGGGAAACAACCCAGACCGCCAGCUAAGGUCCCAAAUUACUACUAAGUGGGAAACGAUGUGGGAAGGCUCAGACAGCCAGGAUGUUGGCUUAGAAGCAGCCAUCAUUUAAAGAAAGCGUAAUAGCUCACUGGUCGAGUCGGCCUGCGCGGAAGAUGUAACGGGGCUAAGUAGUAAACCGAAGCUGCGGCAAUGCACUUUAGUGCAUUGGGUAGGGGAGCGUUCUGUAAGCGGUUGAAGGUGUGUGGUAACGCAUGCUGGACGUAUCAGAAGUGCGAAUGCUGACAUGAGUAACGAUAAAGGGGGUGAAAAACCCCCUCGCCGGAAGACCAAGGGUUCCUGUCCAACGUUAAUCGGGGCAGGGUAAGUCGACCCCUAAGGCGAGGCCGAAAGGCGUAGUCGAUGGGAAACGGGUUAAUAUUCCCGUACUUCUUACAAUUGCGAUGGGGGGACGGAGAAGGCUAGGUGGGCCUGGCGACGGUUGUCCAGGUUCAAGUGCGUAGGCUGAGAGAUUAGGUAAAUCCGGUUUCUCUUAAGGCUGAGACACGACGUCGAGCUACUACGGUAGUGAAGUCAUUGAUGCCAUGCUUCCAGGAAAAGCCUCUAAGCUUCAGAUUGUAAGGAAUCGUACCCCAAACCGACACAGGUGGUCGGGUAGAGAAUACCAAGGCGCUUGAGAGAACUCGGGUGAAGGAACUAGGCAAAAUGGUACCGUAACUUCGGGAGAAGGUACGCUCUCGACGGUGAAGUCCCUCGCGGAUGGAGCUAUUGAGAGUCGCAGAUACCAGGUGGCUGCAACUGUUUAUUAAAAACACAGCACUGUGCAAAAUCGUAAGAUGACGUAUACGGUGUGACGCCUGCCCGGUGCCGGAAGGUUAAUUGAUGGGGUUAGACUUCGGUCGAAGCUCUUGAUCGAAGCCCCGGUAAACGGCGGCCGUAACUAUAACGGUCCUAAGGUAGCGAAAUUCCUUGUCGGGUAAGUUCCGACCUGCACGAAUGGCGUAAUGAUGGCCACGCUGUCUCCACCCGAGACUCAGUGAAAUUGAAAUCGCUGUGAAGAUGCAGUGUACCCGCGGCUAGACGGAAAGACCCCGUGAACCUUUACUACAGCUUGGCACUGAACAUUGACCCUACAUGUGUAGGAUAGGUGGGAGGCUUUGAAACUAGUACGCCAGUAUUAGUGGAGCCGUCCUUGAAAUACCACCCUUGUAGUGUUGAUGUUCUAACGUCGACCCCUUAUCGGGGUUGCGGACAGUGCCUGGUGGGUAGUUUGACUGGGGCGGUCUCCUCCCAAAGCGUAACGGAGGAGCACGAAGGUGGGCUAAUCACGGUUGGACAUCGUGAGGUUAGUGCAAUGGCAUAAGCCCGCUUGACUGCGAGAAUGACAAUUCGAGCAGGUGCGAAAGCAGGUCAUAGUGAUCCGGUGGUUCUGAAUGGAAGGGCCAUCGCUCAACGGAUAAAAGGUACUCCGGGGAUAACAGGCUGAUACCGCCCAAGAGUUCAUAUCGACGGCGGUGUUUGGCACCUCGAUGUCGGCUCAUCACAUCCUGGGGCUGAAGUCGGUCCCAAGGGUAUGGCUGUUCGCCAUUUAAAGUGGUACGCGAGCUGGGUUUAGAACGUCGUGAGACAGUUCGGUCCCUAUCUGCCGUGGGCGUUGGAAGAUUGAAGGGGGCUGCUCCUAGUACGAGAGGACCGGAGUGGACGAACCUCUGGUGUUCGGGUUGUGUCGCCAGACGCAUUGCCCGGUAGCUAAGUUCGGAAUCGAUAACCGCUGAAAGCAUCUAAGCGGGAAGCGAGCCCUGAGAUGAGUCUUCCCUGAUACUUUAAGUAUCCUAAAGGGUUGUUCGAGACUAGAACGUUGAUAGGCAGGGUGUGUAAGCGUUGUGAGGCGUUGAGCUAACCUGUACUAAUUGCCCGUGAGGCUUAACCAUACAACACCCAAGGGGUUU
This 2915-nucleotide ribosomal RNA is filed under the name Vibrio campbellii CAIM 519 = NBRC 15631 = ATCC 25920. RNAcentral's name for it is "Vibrio campbellii CAIM 519 = NBRC 15631 23S ribosomal RNA". It matches the Rfam family "Bacterial large subunit ribosomal RNA". The record is from RNAcentral. Lineage: Bacteria; Pseudomonadati; Pseudomonadota; Gammaproteobacteria; Vibrionales; Vibrionaceae.